Cyprinus carpio carpio is the source of this 1531-nucleotide long non-coding RNA. Lineage: Eukaryota; Metazoa; Chordata; Actinopteri; Cypriniformes; Cyprinidae. The record is from Ensembl.
AUGACAGCAAACACAACAGGCAGAAUCAUAAUCGGUACACAGGCAGAAUGUCAGGGUAUCAAGCUGAGAAUCACAGUCCAAGAAACAAGCAAUAUAGUCCAGAAGGCAUGCAGCAGUAAUCGUAAACCAGGGAACAGACAAAAUAAGCAACAGACAGACAAUAGAAAAUGCUCAGAAGUGUAACCGUAGUACAACAAGACCUCGCCCUGAACACAAGAAAGCUAGCAGCUUAAAUACUAAAAUCCAAUGAGCUGCAGCUGGAGAGUAAUCAGAGUCCAAGGAUGGGGCUUGUGGGAAAUGUAGUGCAAUAGUCACUGUGUGUGUAUGUGGUUGUAGGAAGAGUGGCAGGUGCAGGGUGAAUGGGAAAUGGAGUUCAAUGGAUAUGUGAAGUCCAGUUUGGAGUGCCCUCUGGUGGCCAUGACGGGCACUCUCACUUGUGAUCAUGACAUAAAUAUACUGCUGUUGUUUUAAACAAUUUAUCAUUAUAUGGUGUAGUGAGCAGACAAUUGAUUGAAUUAGUAAAUUUCUGUUAAUGACACAGGAGCUGGUUAAAAAAAAAAACAUUUGAGUGUAAGAUAUGAAAAAAGAAAAAAAAAUCAUAUGAGAGGCCAUAUAAAUUACAAAGAACUAAAAUGUUCAUUGAAGGUUAUACAUCAACAACUUGGGAAACAAACAAAACAAGGCAAAGUUAUUUUAAAAAAGAGCUUACUAAUAAGUAAUGUAAUGUAGACCUGUAGCAGAAUUAACGUUACCCCAUUUAUAUAUUUUCUGAUGCUUGUAAAAAGGCCUGUUUACUGAAACCACAGUCAGAGCUGUGAGAUGAGAACUGCAACCACACCGAGCACAAACCACUGGAUAAAACUGACAACCAGAAACCACUGCACUGAAGAAAAAAAAUCUAUGAACAUAUGAACAUAAUUUACACUAGUGCAAUCUACAGUAAAAUAUUAUAAUAUUCAUAUAAUAAUAUUCAUUAAUUAAUUUAAUGUUUUAAAUCAGACAGAAAUAGAAUUAUCCAUUUGCACCCUGGAAUAUUUUUCUAUGCACUUUUUUACUGUCCAUUGCACUAGUGUAAAUUAUGUUCAUAUGUUCAUAGUUUCUGCUUAUAGUGUAUAUACACUUACACUUACAUUACAUAAUCAAUCUGUAUAGUAUGUUCAUAGUACACCUAUCUGUAUAUCAUGCUGAUUGCAUUUAAAAAUCUGCAAAUUAUGGCCAUAGUACUGCCUUAUAUGUAUAUUUAUUGUACAUUUGUAACAUAUUGUAGACACUGUAUAUCAUGUACUUACUGCUUAUUGCACUUCUGGUUAGAUGCUAACUGCAUUUCGUUGCCUUGUAUCUUACAUGGGCAAUGGCAAUAAAGUUGAAUGUAAUCUAAUCCAAUCUAAUCUAAUCUAAUCUAAUCUAAUCUAAUCUAAUCUAAUCUAAUCUAAUCACAUAUUUUAAGGUAACAAUUGCAAGUUAUCACUUUUUACAGUGUGGAGGAGCAACCCAUUAUCACUCAUAAGCAAGGUGUCAUUACAGUUUUUCC